RNAcentral lists this microRNA precursor (98 nucleotides) under Dasypus novemcinctus (nine-banded armadillo). RNAcentral describes it as "miRNA (ENSDNOG00000038685.1)". Lineage: Eukaryota; Metazoa; Chordata; Mammalia; Cingulata; Dasypodidae. The record is from RNAcentral.
CAAAUUCCUAUCCUGUGUCAGGGAUGGGGUCACCAAGUGCUGAAGGCAUAGAGAUAGAGUCCUGCCUUCAAGGAGCUCACAGUCUAGCCUUUAGAACC